GCCCCAUUGUUAGGGUUAGUGUAAGAGAAAUUCCUGCCUGAGUUGUUAGAUUGAACUGAAUGAUGUAUAAAGUUUCUUCCAACUUAGUUCUAUUUUUUUGUGAUCUUCUGAAAGUAGCAUUAUGAUCACUUAAAGUAAUAAGGAUGGAUACGUAUAGAAAAAGCAUAAAAUUGAAAGUCAGGUGAACCAAAGUCUGUUACCAGUUCUGCUCUUAAUUGUGAUCUUAACUUUAGACAUCUCACUUAACCUCCUUAUGCCUCAGUUUCUCAUUUGACAUAAAAAUCUCUGCCUCCCAGUAGUUAUGAGAUGAAAGGUGAGAAAAGCACUUUGCUCUUAAAAAAAGGUUUUGCAUAAGUAAUGUAUUAUGCCUAUGUAUCUCAUAGGAUUAUUGUGAAGACCAAGUGAGAUAAUUAUGUCAACUGCUUUGUAAACUUAAGCUGCCAUGUAUUUAUUAUUGUUAUUACUAUUAUAAAUCUAAGUACUAGUAUUACACUUUCCACAUACUCAAUUCAGUUCAUAGGUGUAUGUAUGCCUUUGAUUCACUAGUUAAUUUUUCUUAAAGCCCAAAAUUAUUAUGUUUAAAUUAAAUAUUAAAUUUUGAAAGAUAAUUUUGAGUAGUUUUACCCUGCUAUUCUAGAGCCUCAUUAUGUAGCAGAGUUCCCCAUGAUUCCCUAAUGGAGUAUGUGCUCUUGAAGGAAUCUGAGAAAGUAAGAUUGCUCUGUGGCAGGUUAGGGUGAAAUCAGCAUGAUGAUUCAAUGAUUAAUUCAUCAUUUAUCAAUCUGUUUAAGUAGAAUGCAUUCAGUUUCAGAAUGUUGCCAUUAGUGAUUUCACAGGGGACUACUGAAACUCUGGAAUGGCUCCUCUGAAAUAAACUGCUAUGCAAAUCUGUGUGAUUAUGCCCAUGUCCUUAAACAGUAUCAGUAUUUCUGCCCAGAGGGUAUUUUUGCCAUUUGGUCCUUUUCCUGCUUGCACUAAAUUACCCCACAUGUUGUAAACUUAAUAUCAUCCAAGUACAUUUUCUUGUAUUAACUCAGGAAAGGAAUGGAAUCAGCUGUCAUUACUGAUUUCAUGCCUGUGAAAGAAACCUUUCCUGUAGCAACUUAUCAGUAAAAAUGAUUGAAUAGAAAUAGUUUCUUUUUUGUGUGUGUGCUAGUGUGAUGAUGAGCUAGGUCCUGUUUCUGUUUGUAUGAGGACUGCUGUUUACUAUAUGUAGUCUUCAGAAAACAAAUGAAGACCAAUAUGAUGUUAAAUUAGUAAUUUUUUAAUUAAGUGAAAUUCAAUCAAAGCAAUAUUUUUCUUGCUUAACGACAGGAUGACUGUCGCAGGUUAUUUGCAAAUGUGUUUCUGUUCUUAGAAAACUAAUAAACAGAAGGUGCCAAAAAAGUUAGUAGAUUAGUUUACUAUGGCACUCUGCUAUAAGUAAUGGUCAAAAAAAAAAAAGGGUAAAAUCUAUUACAAGUUAAUAUUAAUAAACAUGAUAAAAUACAUUAAAUUGGUUACAUGAUCAGACUUAUUAAUACCAUUUGUAGUUUAUUAUUGGGCCAUAUUGAGGACAAAACUACAGGAAUGUUGAAAGGUUCAUAGGACAAUUGGAAAAACUAGAAGCUAUCUCAGGGAUCAUCUAGUAAAACCCUCUAAUGUUAUAGAUGAAUAAACAAGUCAGAAACACAAUAUUGAGUAAAAUCUAGUGUUAGAUUUGAUGUCAGAUCCGGAUUUGAUUCUUGGCAUUGUCACUUAUUAUUCUGUGACUGGUGUACCUCCCAUAGCUUGCUCAUUUGUAAAAUAAAGGGCUUCAUUUAGGUAAUUCCUGAGGUCUCUUCCAAGUUCUUAGCCUAUGAUCCUGUAGAAUACCAAGUUGAAGCCAUUUGCUCUUUUCUUUUUCAGAGGAAUUUUUCAACAAAUUACCAAAAAGUGAUCCAUAGAAAAGGGAAAGAGUUAUAGCUACAAUUCUUUUGAAAUACUGAAAAAUUGAAAGCUAUCAAGAUUAGGCUGAGUGAAUAAAUUUUGGUUUUUAACUUAGCCAACAGGAUAAUUUAGGCAACUUAAUUUAUAGUCAAGGAUCAGUUCUGUACAUUUUUUUACAGUUUGCAAGGAAUGUGUUUUCUGGGUAGAUAUAUGUCCCCGGAAGCUGUUCAGAGAAUGUGGAAUGUUAAGUGCAGGGUUCCAACAAUAGCAAAAGCAACAACGAAAAACAAAAAAACACGACAGUAGGGUUGAGCUUAAAUAGAAAUGAAUACCUGCAGGCUGCAUUUUGGCUUAAAAAAACUUGUAUUAAUUUUAUUCAUGUUUUAUUCUAUUUGUAUUUAUUUUGUUAGAUGUUUCCCAAUUAGAUUUUAAUUUGAUUUGGGUUUUACUCUGGAGUGUUGGGGCUGCAAGCAGCUCAUGGGCCAGGUGUUUGACAUCUGCUCUGGGGCGUUUAUAGGGAGGUCUGAACAAAGUGGUCAGUUUGGGGCAAUUAAGUCUUUAAUCAUCCCAUACUUUUGUUUGGGGAUACUGCCCUUUUAUCCUUAUUUUAAAACACUUGGGGAAUGAUAGAACAAGAAUGCUUAUGGAGAAUGUUUGAAGGAGAAUCCUUUUUAUUUUAUACUGAUGUAGAAUUUCCAGUAGUACCCAUCUCUACUUAACUUUGUUUGAACCUCUUUUGAGCAGAGGGUAGGGUUCUGAAAUCUGUAAUUUGUACUCCAGACUUUUCCCAUGCAAACAAAUUAUGUGUAAUUAGGUACUAAUUUCAGUAGUAUGAAUUGAGUGCAUUGUGGGUUAAAUAAACUUGUGAGCUGAACUGGGAACAUAAUCACCAUUUAUAUAUUGUUUCUGUGAGAAAAUGCAUCUCCAAACGUGUUAAACAUUAUCUGUUACUAAAUUAGUGGCAGCCUUUCUCACCUGCUUUAGGCAUUAUUUUGUCCAAUUUCAUCAUACUUUCAUCUAGCUAAGUCAACAAACACACCUAAUUACUUAUUAUAUUCCGGAUUUUAAUUCCCUCUUUUGUGAAACUUACCAACAUAACUCAUUCAUUUUGUUUCAUUUUUAUCAAAUAGUGGAAUUGUUACAAAAGGAAUGAAAACUAGAGCAAUUGUUAUUUUGUUAGAGGACGAUUUUUUUUUUUAAUCUAUAGCUGUUUUAUUAAAAAAAAAAUGCUGACCACAAAUUUCUUCUCAUAUACUUUUUAGAAUUUUAAGGAUUCUUGCUCUUAGAGGAAAAUAUUUAUAGUAUGAACAUUGCAGAGCAUCUCUGCAAAAUAAUGAACUCAGUGAUUGGAAUUCCCAUCUCUAUAAUUAAUGAUUUCUCAUAUAGUGAAUGAUUACAUAGAAUAGUACUGAAUGGCAACCACUAUAAUCUUUCAUUAUAAUGUAGCUGAUGGCAACUCUCAUAAAAAUAAACCAAAAAACCAUGAACUUCAUUGCCAUUAGAAGUUGGUCCUCAAUCAAAGCUUUUUUAUUUAUGUAAUGUCUACUGAACCUCUUGUUCUUUUCUUCCAAAUUUGUCUAAGAGUCUAGGAGCCCAACUCAGUGUUGAAAAGAUACUGCCUAUGUUAACCGUAAUGUUAUGAUUACUUAAAGAGUUCACAAAAUUAUCGAAUGAUUCAGACAUUCUUAGAUUAGAAGAGGAAGGAGGGGUGAGAUUUUGAAGUUUAUUUUGGAAUUUUAGAAGUUGACUAGAAAUUUUAAAACAUCUAUAUUUUAAAGAAUUCUUGAACUUAAAGUUCACUGUGCAGAAGAUAGUCCAGUCUACCCCUGACAAUCAUGUGAAAACCUCUAGAGCUAAGGAAUCCUCUUUCUCCUGAGGCAGACCAUUCCCUUGUAGAAGGCUUUAAAUAUUAGAACCAGAGGAAUUUUUAGAAAGGAAUAUUUUAACUCAAUAUAAGGGAAAAUGUCCUGUCACCCACUGCUUUUAUUCGGUAGCCUCUGAAGCCAAGAAAUCUAAUGGUCUUCCUUGGAUGAGACAGCUUUUCAGGUUAAUGAGGCUAUAGUAGCUAAGAUACCCUGUCUUUCCCUUGUUUAGAGUUGCCAAUCUUUUUAAAGUUAGUGUACCUGAAAGGGGACAAAAUCCUCCAGUUAUGGUAUAACCAUGAGAGUAACUAACCUUUAUAAGCUUUAAACUUGUCAAGUUGAUGUGUAUAUAUUAUUCCGUUUGAACCAUACAAUAAUACUAUGAGGUAGGUACUACAGAUGGUAUAUUCAUUUUAUAGAGGAGAAAACUGAAGCUCAAAGAGCAACUUGGCAAGACAGUGUCAGAGACAGUUUAAACUCAGGCCUUCUGAUUCCAGCCUAUUUUUCUAUUCACUUUACUACAUUGCCUGUCUUUGGAGAUAAGGACGGACCACCAUAGAACUCUGACUUGAAAAAAGGUGAAAUAGGAGACAGUGAUAAAAAACUCUGGAUUUGUAGUCAAAAGAUCUUAUUGCUACUUAGAUGAUUGGACAAACCACUUAAACCUGUCUAGAUUUUAGUUUCCUCAUUUAUAAAAUAAAGGGCUUGCUUUCAGCUUUAAGUCAGAUACUUCUUUUGUUCCAAAAUGCUAACUAUUUUAAAACUACUUAAAAAAAUAAAAUGAACACAAUUAACUUACUGAGCUUGCAAUCCCCUUAAACCACUGAGCAUUUUAAUUUGAAUUGUUGUCUUGCCACUCUUUUCCUAAUCAAUUUUUUUAUUAGAUUUCAUCUUUUUUUGAUUUGAUCAGUCCUUCUAGCUGGUUAAGAUAUUUUUGGAUCCUGAUUGUUCUUCAGUUUUUCUCUCCCAACUUUAUGUCAACUAUACAUAUGGUAAGCAUGAUGAUGAGGGUUUUUAGGUGCAGAGUAUUAAGGAAAAGAAAUAUAUCAUAAAUGCUGGAUUCUCUGUAUUCUCAGGAAAGGAAGAAUUAAAAUCAUUGGCUGAGAAGAAAGGGCUUUAAGGUUAGUGUAGAAAGCUUGAAGAAAAGAGGUUGGGAAUAUUUGGGAGAAUAAUUUAGAAGACUACAAUGCUGUUGUACAACAUUAAAGACCCAGUUCUAAGUAAAUAAAAUAAAUGUGUAGCUGAUACAACUCAAUUUUGUGGUUCAGGUAGAAGGUAAAGGAACACCAAGAUUAGUGUUUGGUAGAGUUAGGGCAAGGAACUAGAGAACAGUAUUGAACUGAACGUGUCAACUGGGGUCAAAACUAUGAAAUGAAAAAUGAUAGGAGACUGGGAAGGGCAGAGAAAGAGAUACCUCUUUCAUAACAAUGUUAUGGUGAAAGUAGGAUUAGGAAUAAUGAGGCAGAGGAGCAUAAUGGUAAGAUAGGAAGUUAUGAUUAGCAAUUAGAGAUUUUUGGAUCAAUAGAAGUAGAGUAUGGAUGAUGAAUCAAGGGUAUGACCAUCUGUGUGACUGAGUUGAAAUGAAAGUACAAGUAUUGGGAGUUGAGGUUGGAAAACAGUGUUUCAGGCCCUCUGUCCCUUUUAAAAUUUUUCCUACUCUACCAUCACACCCUCCCCUUCUCCACUGCUCACAUCCCCAGCUCCCUUGAAGAAGGGGUUAUCUUUUGGUCCUGGAGGCCAAUAUAUAACUGCCCCAAGAAUCUGAAUAGGGUAUUAUAUACAGAGAGAGCCUUUAAGAAAUUUAGUAAUGAUGGCAGAGCAAGGGUCAAGAAGUGGCAGUGAGGAAUAUGGAAUUUGUCUAUAUCUCAGCUCAGUGUAUUUGUAUUAGAGAGGAGAGCAUAAGAAAGUAUGAAGAAAAGGUAUUGAUAGUUCUGGAGAAGUUGGGUAGGGGAUGUAGUAUCUGACAGGAGUCAGCCUUUGAAGAGAGACAAAAUGAAAGGAAUGUGCAAAAGAGGUCUGAGACAAAGGGAAAUUACCAGUGGAAUGAAGAUUCCAGACUGAGAAGGAUUGGGAUGGGAAGAAACAGGUAUAUAGGAAUGAGAAGGCAAUGAGUGGUGGCAGGGGAAUGGUAUUUUCACAGCUGAAUCAGGGAUUCUGAGGAUGUAGGAGUUUGCUAGCCAGAGAGUAGGGAUGUAACAUUUGAUUGGACCCCUACCUUCAAAGGUAUUUGAUGACAAAUAGAGCUACAGAUCAAAUGUAAAAAAGAAUAUAGGGGUAAUUAUAAAAUUUUAUAUUCAUGUUUCAAAAUUUUAUAUAAGUACAAGGUGGGGGAAGUACAAUUAAAAGUUAUUUGUGUGAAGAGAAUCUGCAGGUUUUGAUGAACUGCAAAUGAUAAAGCAGUCAAAACAAUUAGUAAGAUCUUGAGCUGUAGUGAGAGGUGGCCACAGUAAGGAAGAGAAUAGUACAGUUGUUCUCUCCUCAAAACCUUGUAUUUAUUGUGUUCUGAGUGCCACAUUUUAAGAAGGACAUUAAUAAUCCUGAGAAUGACGAGGAUACUUAGGGGAUGGGAGAUCAUAAUAUAAUAAUGCCAACUACUAAUGCAGUUCAGAUUUGCAAAGAGAUUUAUCUGUGUUUCUAUCCAUCAAAAUUUGAUCCCUGUUAUAUCCUUAUAUGAAUUAGGUGUUUUUAUCCCCAUUUUACAGAAAAGGCAAUUGAAGAUUGGUUAGAGAAACUGGAAGUUUUUAGCUUGAAUAAUAGAUGGCUUAUAGGGGAAUAUGGUAGAUGCCUUCAUUUAUGUAUUUGAGUGCAAUCUUUUGGAUAGUGGAAUUGAAUUUCUUCUGCUCUAUCCACUAAGGCAGACUAAGGAUUAUAUGUGAGAAUUUAAGAGAAGCAGAUUCUAGUUUGAUUGAUAAAAAGUUUUUUUCUGCCCUAAACAAAGCAUGAUAAUGAAUUUCAUUAGAAAAAAAUGAAAGGCCUAAAUAGAAUUUAGAAAAGGUAGAUAUAAUAAAUAGCUCUCUGGUGAUUACUAAAUGGUAAUCAAAAAGAGAACAUGUUACUUAGACAUAUAUUUAAACACUUUUCCAAAAAUCAACCAGAUAUUGGCAUAAAAAUCACACAGAAAAAUAAAAAUAUUAAAUAUAUUCUUUUGCUGGUCAUAAUAUAAUCAAUUAUACUUUUAAAAAAGAGGCUUAGAAAGAAGGAUUUAACAGUUGAAGACUAAAUAAUUUAGUCCUAAAAUAUUAGUUUGUCAAAGAAUAAAUCAUAAAAAACAAUAGAUAAUUCCAUCAAUGAAAGAGCCAACAAUGAGAUAGCAUGCCAAAACUUUUGGUUUGCAGCCAAAAUAUUCCCUAGAAGGAAUUGUAUGUUGCUAAACACUUAAUAAAAGAAAGUAUAGAUUAAGGAAUUGAGCAUUUAACUAAAAAGACUAGAAAAACAUAAAAAUCUGAAUUAAACACUAAAAGAAAAACUUUUGAAAUUUGGAGAAAGAAAAUUGAAAGUGAAAUCUCCCAAACGAACAUCAUUGAGUUGAUAACUAAAACUUGAAACUUUUUUUUUUUAAUUCAGUAGUUAAUAGGAUUUUUAGAGAUAAGAAACCACUCACUGAUAUCAAAAGCAGAAAAGAAAAAUUUGUAACACAUGAAGAUGAAAGAAACGAUUAGAAUAUUUUGUCCAAUUAUAUGCUUACAAAAUAGAUGAUUUUGAUUAAAUAUAUUAAUACUUAUAAAAUAUGAAGUACCCUGAUAAAUAGGGUAUUUCAUCACAGAUCAUUAGAUUACAGAGAUUAUCUAAUUUUACAAAAAAGUGAUAAGCCAUAACUACCCUGCCAUCAUCCCACUAUCUUCCUCAAAAGAAAACCCAUGGCAAGAAAUACAAAUGAAUUUUAUCAAACAUUUAACUAAUAACAGCAUUUAUUUAGUAUUUUAAGGUUUGCAAAGUGCUUUACAUAGGUUUUGUCACUUAACUCUUACAACUCUAAAAAUAUCACCAUUGUAUAGAUAAGGAAACUGAGGCUGAGAAAUUAAGUGAUGUCACCAGGUUUAUACAGCCCGUAUCUGAGACAGGUUUUGAAUUCAAGUUUUCCUGCCACUAAGUCCAACACUAUCCAGUGUGCCAUCUAGCUGCUAAAAAGUAUUAAUUAAACUUUACAAAAAUAGGAAAAAGGAGGGUUUUUUUUUAUUGAGAGAGAGAGAAGUAGAGAGAGAAGAAAACUUGCUCAAUAGCCUUAAUGAAUAUUACAAAAAAAUUAAAAAUUAUGAUACAACAUAUUGCAAAUAUAUACUCUGGCCAGGGAUUGAUAUAGCAAUGAAUGCAGAGUGAGUUGAAUAUAAGGAAAACCAACAAACAGACCAUUUUAAAGCCAGUAAUCACAUGAUUGAAUCAAAUAUUGAAAAAGUUUUUCACAAGAUAUAGCACCAAUUCUAUUAGAAAACUUAAACAAAUGGACCUUAAUUUUAAUAUGGCAAACAGUAUCUUUUUAAACCUAUGGACCAACAUUACAUGUAGUGGAGAAGUAAAAAAAAAAUCUAAUAAGAGUAAUGGAAAGGCAAAGAUGUUCAUUCUUAUUGCUAUUAUUUAUUAAAGUGGUGGAAAAUGCUACUUGUAAUAAUAAGACCAAAAAAAAAAAAAAAAUUAAGCAUUGUUUUAAGGAGUAGGAAAUAAGGACUUUUUUUUUUUUUUUUUUUUUUUUUUUUUUGGCAGAUCAUAUAAACAGUCCAUUUAGAGAACCCUAAUGAUUCAAUUCAAAACUUUUUUGAAAAACUUGCAAAGCUUCAGGAAAUCAGCUUUUGUAUAUUCUAUCAGAGUCUAGCAAGAAGAAAUAGAAAGAGAAAUUUGAUUAGAAAUAACUACAGAGUGAAUAAAAUAUUUUGCUGUCUACAUACUAAGAUACAUAGGAAUUAUAGGAAUACAAAUACAUUUACAGAAAGAGCUAAAUAAUUUGAGAAAUGUUAAUUAUAGACUGAACCAACAAUUGUUAUUAUUUAUAUAGCAUUUUAAGGUUUGUAAAGAACUUUACAGCUAUCAUUUCACUGAUCUCUACAACAAUCCUGGGUGGUGUAGGUGCUCUUCUCACCAUUUUAGAAAUGAAGAAAUAGGCUGAGAGAGGUUAAGUGAUGUCCAGGAUUACAUAGCUAGUAAGUAUCUAAAGUAGGAUUUGACCCUAGGUUUUCAUGAAUUUCAGGUCUGUCAGUCUAUCCACUGUGCCACCUAGCUGCCUCAAUAUAAUAAAUAUAAUAAAAUUAUAACAUCUAAACUACUAAUUUAAACAACCAAAGAAUCACCUUAUAGCAAAAGAAAAAAAAAAUUAUUCUGGAAGAACAAAAGCUCAAGAUGCUCAAAGGAAAUGAUGAAAAAGGUGGAGAGAAGAGAGCCUGAUGGUUAGAUCUCAAACUAUGCUGCAAAGUCGUAAUUAAUAAAAAUUAUUUUGUGCUGCUUGAAAAAUAGGUUAGCCAGUGGAGCUGAUUAGUUAUACAACAUAUAGAAGCAAAUAAACCCAGGAUUAUAGUGUUUAAUGAACACAAAUAUCCUAAUUGUUAAGUAAGGACUUUACCGUUUGUCCAAAAUUUCUGUGAAAUGUAGAAAGCAGUCAGGCUGAAAUUAGGCUUAGACUAAAAUCUUACACCAUAUAUUAACAUUAGCUCUAAAUGCAUACAUGACUUAGAUAUCAAAAGAUCACAUCAUAAACAAGAGGAACAGAGAGGAACUCUCUUUGCAACUAUAGAUAGGAAAAUAAUUUAGGACCCAACAAGCAUUUGAAAAGAUUGUAAAACAUAAAAUAGAUUGAUUCCUUAAAAUUGAAAAGUUUGCACAAAAUUAAUGCAGUUAAAAUUAUAAGGGAAACAGUUAACUGGGGAAAAUUUCUGUAGUGGUACUUCUUUGAAAUUAUACAAAUAUAAGAACCAUUUCCUUAUAGCUAAAUGAUGAAAAGAUAUGAAGAGACAGUUUUCAAAGGAAGAAAAUCAGACUAUCAAUGUUCAAAUUAGGGUAUACCCCAAAUCAAUAAAUAUAGAAAUGCAAUUGAAGCAACUUUGAGGUUCCACACAUUAGAUUGGCAAAGGUAAUUAAAAAAAGAAAAAUGAUAAUUAUUGAAGGGACUGGAGAGGGGUGCCCAUCAAUUGGGGAAGGGCUAUACAAAUUUUGGUAUAUGAAUGUAAUGAAAUGUGAUUGCACAGUAAAAAAUAAAGGGAUGGUUUCAAGGAAAACUAAGAGUAGUUAGAAAAUAUACAUAUAUGAAGUUAGAAUUAGGAGAAUUACUUAUAUAGCAACAUUGUAUACAAAAGCAACUUUGAAUAAAUUAAUUUUAUUAUGAUUAUUUGAUUAAUAAAAUAACCAACCACAUCUUCAAAAGGAGUGAUGAAGGAUGGUACUUCCUAAACAGAGAGGAGAUAGUCUAAAGGUGAAUAAUGAGACAUAAGUUUUCAAAUAUCGUUAAUAUGUGGAUUUUUUUGAUUGAUUAUGCACAUUUGUUACAAGGAUUUUGUUUUUCCCUUAAAAAAAGAUAUGGAGAAGGGUUGGGAAGAGUGGGAGAAGUUUGACUAUGU
This 10306-nucleotide long non-coding RNA is filed under the name Sarcophilus harrisii (Tasmanian devil). Its description in RNAcentral is "lncRNA (ENSSHAG00000028071.1)". Lineage: Eukaryota; Metazoa; Chordata; Mammalia; Dasyuromorphia; Dasyuridae. The record is from RNAcentral.